AACGAACGCUGGCGGCAUGCCUAACACAUGCAAGUCGAACGAUUGCCUUCGGGUGAUAGUGGCGCACGGGUGCGUAACGCGUGGGAAUCUGCCCUUAGGUUCGGAAUAACAGCUGGAAACGGCUGCUAAUACCGGAUGAUAUCGCGAGAUCAAAGAUUUAUCGCCUGAGGAUGAGCCCGCGUUGGAUUAGGUAGUUGGUGGGGUAAAGGCCUACCAAGCCGACGAUCCAUAGCUGGUCUGAGAGGAUGAUCAGCCACACUGGGACUGAGACACGGCCCAGACUACUACGGGAGGCAGCAGUGGGGAAUAUUGGACAAUGGGCGCAAGCCUGAUCCAGCAAUGCCGCGUGAGUGAUGAAGGCCCUAGGGUUGUAAAGCUCUUUUACCCGGGAAGAUAAUGACUGUACCGGGAGAAUAAGCCCCGGCUAACUCCGUG
Molecule: ribosomal RNA, 435 nt
Filed under: uncultured bacterium
Lineage: Bacteria
Description: partial 16S ribosomal RNA
Rfam family: Bacterial small subunit ribosomal RNA
Source: RNAcentral